GUCUCUUUUUCUAAUACUAUAAGCAAUAGGUCAACAAUAUUUGGUGUAUGGAUUAAUGAUUGUAAGGUGUACAUAUCUGACUGGCAGGUGUCAUUUGUCCUUGACCUCAUUUUCAUGGUUCAUUGGUCAAUGUUGAGUUUUUGUGUUUUGGUCUGUUUUUCUAAUAUCAUAAGCAAUAGGUCAACUAUUUUUGGUGUAUGGAAUGAUUGCAAGGUGUACAUGUCUGUCUGGCAGGUGUCAUUACUUGACCUCAUUUUCAUGGUUCAUCGGUCAAUGUUAAGUUUUCAUGGUUUGGUCUUUUUCUUGUAUACUAUAAGCAGUAGGUCAACUAUGUUUGGUGUAUGGAAUGAUUGUAAGAUGUACAUGUCUGUCUGGCAGGGUUCAUCUGACCUUGACCUCAUUUUCAUGGUUCAUUGGUCAAUGUUUAGUUAUCCUGUUUAAGUCUGCUUCUUAGAUACUAUAAGCAAUAAGGUCAACUUUAUUUGAUGCAUGGAAUGAUUGUAGGGUGUACAUGUCUGUCUGGCUUGGUUUAUAUGACCUUGACCUCAUUUUCAUGGAUCAUUAAUAAUUUUAAGUUUAUGUGAUACUUGUAGUGAAACUUUAUCUUUAAGGCUAUCAACAUAAAACCAAUCAUGGUUAGUAAAGCAGGC
RNAcentral lists this long non-coding RNA (650 nucleotides) under Mytilus galloprovincialis (Mediterranean mussel). The record is from RNAcentral. Lineage: Eukaryota; Metazoa; Mollusca; Bivalvia; Mytilida; Mytilidae.